AUUCUCUACCUUAGUAUUGUGGAUAAAGUGUGUGGCAAAAUGCACUCCACAUCUGAACAAGAUUUUUGUAGAAAGAUCCAACCCAGAGAUACUGUAACAGCAUUUUCUGCCCUGUCACUUCUGGGGUAGAGUUAGUUUGCCCAUCCUUCCUGGUUAGAUCUGUGCGGAUAGGGAUGGGGACACUGGGUGCCCAGACCAGGAAGUGUCUGUUCUCUCAGUAUCCUAUUAAAAAAGGAAGAAGACAGUGCCUUCAUGUUGUCUCGUCCAGAUUCCUUCUCAGCCCAGGAAUGUUCUUGAGUACAUCCAGGAAGCUACUAGGAGGGGGACCGGUCGGAUGAGACAGAAAUUCAUCAUGUUCAUGGAAGCAUGCCACGUGUCUUCACGGAGCAGAUCUGGUCUCCUGACAAACACAAUGGGCUGUAGAUACCAAGUUCCCACCAGGACCCAAACUCAGUCGUCACACCAUCACACAGAAGAUAAGGCUUCUACACGAGGGCUCAAUUUCACUUAACCUCUCUGGUGCUAGGAAACCUGUGUUUUGAAAAACUUUACCACUGUUUUCUUUUAGACAGAACUUCUUUUGGUUAAUUUUUGUCACAUGCAGAAUUUGACUCAGGCAGUCUACACCUAACUCAGUUCAGUUUUCUUUGGAACUGAGCUGGGCCACACUGUGUUAUAAUACUUUGAUCUGGCUGGAGACAACGCAGAUUUGCCAGGCGGAAGGCGAGCUGUUAUUGAUUUCAAGCUCUGGAGUGCCCAGCCUCGCUGAAAACUGUUGAUGACCUUGAGGGGCCGUGACAAACUGCUAGAGGCUUUUCAACAAAAUGUCAGGAUGAAACAAACUAUGGGGGAAAAUUGUCAAGAAAGACGCACCUUAGACAAAAUGCUAUUGACACUGUUUCUAGAACAAAGGUGGGAUUUGUAAAAAGUAUCUGGACAUGGCCUGAAUUCGCAUGCAUUGAGGAAGCACUGCAUCUUCCCCGAAACCCAGGCGAGCGUGGCCCUUGGAAAUGUCUAGAAGCACUUCCAGCAGCCAUGGUGAGCAGAGGGCACAGAUGGGGCAUAGUGGCUGGGAGCCAGGAUGCUGACUAUUAGAGAAGAGUUCACCCCAAAUUCCAAGAGCUGUGCCCGGG
Molecule: long non-coding RNA, 1133 nt
Filed under: Equus caballus (horse)
Lineage: Eukaryota; Metazoa; Chordata; Mammalia; Perissodactyla; Equidae
Description: lncRNA (ENSECAG00000047519.1)
Source: RNAcentral